Molecule: long non-coding RNA, 1238 nt
Filed under: Manihot esculenta (cassava)
Lineage: Eukaryota; Viridiplantae; Streptophyta; Magnoliopsida; Malpighiales; Euphorbiaceae
Description: long non-coding RNA (MESC_LNC005430)
Source: RNAcentral
UUUAAUUUAACUUGAGAACCUUGUCUUUUAUAUUUAUAUGGAUAAAUUUUUUUUAAAAUGAGUGAAAUUCAAAGUCUUGUUGAAAAGCUAAAAUUGGGCCCUCUGACUUUAAUUUCUGGAUCUGCCACUGUGGAGUGAUCUCAAUUUUUUUUCCCUGUUGUUUGGAAGUAUGCUUGUUUCUUUCCGUAAACUAGGGAUACUUCAUAGCUGGAAAGAAAUGAAAUUUUAUUGAAAAUACCAAGUCAUAGGAAGCAAAGGUUGAUUAUGAACUCCAUGAUAGUUAACUAAAAUGUUGGAGAUGCAUGCAUGUGUUCACACACUCGUACACGUAUAUACACGAACAUGAACAUCUAUGUUUAUAUAUGCAUGCAAACAUCUAUCUAUAAUGUUCUGAUACUUGGAAGUUGGAAUGUGAUAAAGUAUUCUAGCUUUAUGUUAUUCCUGUGACAUUUGCUUUGCUGAGAUUGAAGAUUAUCCAUUUACUUCCAUGAUAGAAUGACUGUAUCUUCAUAUCUAUUUCUUGAUGUUCAGCUUUAAUCUGGAGUCUGGACUCUCUUUUUAUUUUUUAUUUUUUAUAUUUUUUUGGGAGGGGGGGGGAGUGAUGGUUUAUGUAGAUUCUCUGGUUCUACAGUUAUAUAUUAUGCUUAACCUCUACUUUUAUAGGCACCAACAUGAAUUUGAAUUGGAGUCGCAAUUGCGACCAUAGGUAAUGGAAAUAGGUUUGUAACAUACUAACAUCCAUGACUGCGGCCUAUUCCUGACUAUGCAAUUUUUUUUUUAGAAAUAUUGAUGUGGACUUGCUGUCUAACUGGGGGUGAAUGGUAAAAAAAGAUUCAUAUAGUCAACCUAACUGUAGAGAUUAAAGUUUAGUAAUUGUUGUUGCAAAGUUCAUGAAAUGAAUAUAUAUUUAAAGAUAUAAGUUGAAAUCAAAUAAAGAUAUUUGCUUGCAUAAAAUAUAGACAAAGACUAAUAGUUCACCCUUUGCAAAAUAUGGAUGUAGAUAGCUAUGUUUCACUUAUACUAAACUUUCAUUAAUUGGUGAUUUUAGCUUAAGAAGUGAAAGGUUUGUAAAAAUGAUGAAAAUAGCUGGGAAGUUGAGAGAGUGAGGAACAGUAGAGGAAACCCCCAGAAACGAAGUAUUAAAUGAGCUUCCUGCCCCCUUCUGAAAAGGAAAAAAAAAGGAAAGAAAGAAUGAAUCCCAUGAGUGGUGGCUGUUGCAGGUUUGGACCUGCUUGUUU